UGGAAGCAGAUCGGCGGCCGCGGGGAGGUUCGGGGCGGCGCAGCCCCGCGCGGUUGUGGGAUCGCUCCCGGGGGCCGCUCCUCUCUCGGGCACUGGGGUCGCGGGAGACGUCGUCGGGAGCUCGGUUUCUGGAGGCCCUUCCCCACCCGGCCUCUGCCUCCUCCACUCCCCCGGGCUGGACGGAACGGGGCCCAGCGCGGGAUGCGAGAGGUAUGAUUUCGCUCUGUCGCCCAGGCUGGAGGGCAGUGGCGCAAUCUCGGCUCACUGCAGCCUCGAACUCCUAGGCUGAAGCGAUUCUCCCGCCUCAGCCUCCAAAGUAGCCGGUACUACAGGCGCGCGCCACCACGCCUGGCUAAGGUGUGUGUGUGUGUGUGUGUGUGUGUGUCUCCAAAGUAGCGAGGACUACGGGUGUGUGUGUGUGUGUGUGUCUCCAAAGUAGCGAGGACUACAGGCUCCCGCCACUACGCCAGGCUAAGGUAGGGUGUGUAUGUGUGUUAACUUUUUGUAGAGAUGGGAUCUCCCUUUGUAACACGGGCGCCCGCCACUAAGCCAGGCUAAGGUGGUGAAUGUGUGUGUGUGUGUGUGUUAACUUUUUGUAGAGAUGGGAUCUCGCUUCGUAACCCGGGCUGGUAUCGAACUCCUGUCUUCAAGGAAUCCUCCCGUCUGGACUCCUCCCAUGGGAUUACGGGCAUGAGCCACGGCACCUGGCUAUUUUUUUUUUCUAAGCAUUUAAAUAAGCUGGGGCUUGAUUUGGGAGUUUUCUAUUGUAUUUUGAGCUUUGCCGAGGACUUGAUAGUGACCUUGCUUUAAGCUGUGAAAUAAAUCUUGGGGUCCCAGAGCUAUUUUAAUAUUGAAUUCGCUGUGGAGUUGUUUUGAGUUCCUUGGAGGUUAACAUGAGAUAGAAAACUAAGUUAACACAACUCAUCGACUGCCCUUGCUUUGCUUUGCUUUGCUUUUAGAAUGCCAUCGGGUUUUGUCAUGUUGGGAACAAGUUAACUUAGGCCAGUUGACUAAGAUCAAGGUAUGUGAACAUGCCUGGCUGGGAGAGAAGUAGAGUAAAUGUUGGUUCGCAUUCCCUCCCGACGCCCACAAUGCCAGCCAUCCCUGACUUUUCUUGCCUUUAUUGGGAAGAAUAUAAGGUGGCAGAAACAAACUUCCCACCCUUUUUCCAAAUAUUUACUGAAGGAGUCUUGAGGAGAGUCUUGUGGGGUGGGGGGGUGGGGGUGGGAGCUGGGAAUGUUUUUGAACUAGUUCUUGAAAAAAAAACUAGUACAAUAGUACAACUGUCUUAAUUUUAUAUAUGAGGAAACUGAGGCCCAGAGAUGAAAUCAUGCCUUGAUUUAUGCAGACCUCAGUACCUGUUCGUGACAAAUCCAGUUACUAAAAGGUAAGAGAAGGAAUAAGGGACUUGAUAUUUAUCUAGCAUCAGCAAUGUGUGGACAUCGUGUGAACGGCUUUAUAAACAUUUCAUUUAAUUCUCUACAUCUAGCCAUUUUUUAACCUGUGCUUUCCCUCCCUCUCAAAGUACUGUUUAUACAUUUAUUAGUCCAUAUUUUAAACGCUCCAUGCUCUCAACUGUAUUAAUGCUAUUUGUUAGGAUAAGUGGCAGAUGUCCAUGGAAAAUAAGUGGCUGCAAAGUGGUAAUGCUGACCAGAUGAGAAAAGAAGUGUAAAAGGGAAGUUCUAAAGAAUUAAAGCCCUGGAGAGGGUGGGUAGACAACAACAGUCCAAAAUAGUGCUCUUCAUUGAGGCUGUGUAGAUUUUCCUGCUUCCUGGGAAAACUGGGGCAUAUUUACACUUGCAUGUGUGUAUUCAGAUUGUCUGGGGCUAUGGAGUUUGGGUCAGAUUGCUGAACCCGUGGGAGAGAAGUUCCCUUGUUGUCUGUUGUUGUCUGUUCUGAUUGCUGCUUUGUAAUUUGGGCCACAUAUGAAAGUCAGCAUCCAGUCAUUGGACCAUAGGUGUGUGGCAUAUCUACUCAGAUGCAUUAAGCUAUUUUUAUUUCAUUAUAAAAUGUAUAACAUUUACAUUCAAAUUAUGGUUUGAAGGGCUUAAGAGGAGAAAGAGACAGUGGCACUAAGGUGACAGCAUGGCUGGCUGCAUGCUUCCUGUCCAAGAAGGUCACUGGGCAGUGUUAACUGGGAAGAGCAUCUGGAGGAUGAGAGAUCAGUGUAGCCACAUACCCUUAACAAAGGGUGGUACAGCCUCUGGUCUGCCAGGAUUUUUGUGCCCCGCCCCCCUCCCCCUCUUUCCCUAUCUCCUCUUUGACAUUUCCACCAUAUUCCCCUUAGGUAUGUACCUGUUUGGACUUUAAUUUAGAGUGUAACUUUUGGUCAAGAAUCCUGGAGAGAAAAGACGGGUACUAAAGCCUCGCUAGUGAUUUACCUGGGUGCCGACCCCCACAACUCAUCCACCCUACAUGCAUACUUCAAACUCCUCCAGGCAGAUACUCCCUGCCUGACACACAGUGACACUUUGGGAAAAAUUGCAGAACAGUAACCAACUCUGAGCAGAUAAAUGUGAUGUCAAAAUGAUAGUAAUGAGAGAUGUCGUUCGUUGAAAGCCUGCUAGCUGCCAUGCACUAUACUAUUUCUUACAUCUAAAUCUGAUUAAGUUAUACCCCAUUUUAUAAAUAGACACUUUGAUAAGUAAACCUAUCUAAGAUCAAAAUACUGAGAAAUGUCCUAAUUGGGGAUUUGAACCUGGUUCUAAUUCCAAAGUCCAAGCUACAUCCACCCCAACCUCCUACCUCCUAUCUCCAAGACUUUGUGAGUAAAAAAACAAGUGUCACUUCUCUCCUUCUCUUUUUUCUGUCCUAAAGGAAGCUGGGAGCUAACCACUUAGGACUAGUACUAAUCUUUCAGAGAAAGGGAUGAGGGGAGCCUUGUUAUUUCUGUGGGGUUCAGCUCUCAGACCAGAGUAAGACAGGCAACAAGGUUGAGGAGUAGCCAUAUGCAGAAAUAACCUGUGUAUCUAGCCACAGGAUCUCCAACACUGUGUCACUCGGGAAUCAAAAUACAGAGACAGUUCCUCAAUAGAGUGUGGAUCUAGCCCAGAAUGUGGACAAGGGGAGUGGAGAAGGGGAGAGGUACACACUGAGCAUUGUAACAAGGCCUGUCCUCAAGCUUGAGGAGGAUUAGGAAGAUGGCUUGAGUCUGGGAGUAGGAGGCUGCAGUGAGCUAUGAUUGUACCACUGUACCCCAGCCUAGGUGACAGAGUGAGACCCUGUCUCUUAAAAGAAAAAAAAAAUUGACCUGGAUCUACUCAUACCCACCCUGGUCUUUGAGCAGAAAGAAUCAUUUGGGAAUUAUUUUGUCUCAUCUUUCUCCAUGAUCACUGUUGAAGAAUUUGGUCACUGUAACCAGAAAUAACCAUGGAUAUGGGUAGAGACAGAGCCAUAUGGAAUGCACACUGCAGUGGUGAACACAUGGCCCAGCUCUGCCAUCAAGGAGAAGGUGAGAACAUGGGGGAAGAUUUUAUCGAAGUUUCUUUUCUGGGGCAUAUGCUCAGGUUAAACACCUGCUCUGUAUCUCUAGCUUCUGACUCCUACCCCUGGCCAGCUCUGUUACUCUAGUACACUGCUAGGCAGGCAGAGUAUGGCCAAAGUAUUCACAACAGUGCAUCACUAAAUCAACUGGGAUCCACACAAUGGAAUAUCCUAAUGCAUCAUUAAAAAUCACAUUGUAAAAGAAGAUUUUAUAACAGAAAAAAAUGCACUGUAUAUGAUACAUUUUUAAAAUGUUACUUAUGCCAGUCACAAUAAAAGACAAUUACACUUAUAUGGGAUAGAGUAGUCAAUAUUAUAGAGACAGAAGGUAGAAAUGGGUCUGGGUGGAAAUUAGAAUGAGAUGUUCUUAGCAUUCCAGUUUUACAAGAUGAAAAGAGUAACGGAGACAGAUGGCAGUGGUGGUUGCAUGACAUUAUGAAUGUACAUAAUUAAAAAUGGGUAAGAUGGCACAGUGAGAUACCAUCUCACACCAGUCAAAAUGGCUAUUACUAAAAAGUCAAAAAAAUAACAGAUGCUGGGGAGCUUGUAGAGAAAAGGGAAUGCUUAUACACUGCUAGUGGCAGUGUAAGUUAGUCCAGCCACUGUGGCAAUUCCUCAAAGAACUUAGAACUAUCAUUUGACCCAGCAAUCCCAUUACUGGGUAUAUACCCAAAGGAAUAUAAAUUGUUCUGCCUUAAAGACACAUGCAUGUGAUUGUUCAUUGCAGCACUCUUUAUAAUAACAAAGACAUGGAAUCAACCUAAAUGCUCAUCAACAGUAGACUGGAUAAAGAAAAUGUGGUUCAUAUACACCAUGGAAUACUAUGCAGCCAUAAAAAAGAAUGAGAUUAUUUCCUUUGCAGGAACAUGAAUGGAGCUGGAGGCCAUCAUCCUUAGUGAACUAACACAGGAGCAGAAAACCAAAUACCACAUGUUCUCAUGUGUAAGUGGGAGCUAAAUGAUGAGAACACAUGGACACAAAGAGGGGAACAACAGACACUGAAGCCUCCUUGAGGGAGGAGGGUAAGAGGAAGGAGAAGAUCAGAAAAGAUAACUACCAGGUACUAUGGUAGCUUAGUACCUGGGUGAUGAAAUAAUCUGUACACCCAACCCUCAUGACAGAAGUUUACCUGUGUAACAAACCUGCACAUGUAUCCCUGAAACUAAAAGUUUUUUAAAAAGUUAUUUAAUAUAUAUAUAUUUUUUUGAGACGGAGUUUUGCUCUUGUUGCCCAGGCUGGAGUGCGGUGGCGCAAUUUCGGCUCACCACAACCUCCGCCUCCCAGGUUCAAGCUAUUCCCCUGCCUCAGCCUCCCUAGUAGCUGGGAUUACAGGCUUGUGCCACCACGCCGGCUAAUUUUGUAUUUUUUGUAGAGACGGGGUUUCUCCAUGUUGGUCAGGCUGGUCUCGAACUCCCGACCUCAGGUGAUCCACCCCCCUCGGCCUCCCAAAGUGCUAGGAUUACAGGCAUGAGCCACUGCGCCCGGCAAAAAGUUAUUUAAUAUUAAUGGGACAAUACUCAUUGCAAGAAUCAGACUUCAAUUGCUAGCAUAAGUAAAUGACAGGCAGGAGAUAUUGAAAAUGCAAUCUUAUAGACAUUCAAGGAGAGGACGCAGGACAUUUCUGUGUCAUAAAUGUACUAUGGAAAAUAAAAAUGAGAAAAAUGGAAAUAAAAUACAAGAAAAGGUUAUGAUAAAUUUCAUAUUAUUUUACCACAAUAAAAAAAUUUUAAUAAAUUAUAAAUGGUGUGAUAUGUUUUGCCUGUGUUCCACCCAAAUCUCAUCUUGAAUUAGAGCUCCCACAAUUCCCACGUGUUGUGGCUGGGACCCUGUGGGAGAUAAUUGAAUCAUGGGGGCAGUUUACCCCAUACUGUUCUCUUGGUGGUGAAUAAGUCUCAUGAGAGUUGAUGGUUUGAUAAGGGGUUUCCCCUUUUGCUUGGCUCUCAUUCUCUCUUGACUGCCACCAUGUAAGAUGUGCCUUUUGCCUUCCACCAUGAUUGUGAAGCCUCCCAGCCACAUGGAACUGUGAGUC
RNAcentral lists this long non-coding RNA (5512 nucleotides) under Homo sapiens (human). Its description in RNAcentral is "HSALNT0161303". The record is from RNAcentral. Lineage: Eukaryota; Metazoa; Chordata; Mammalia; Primates; Hominidae.